UACGGGGGGGGCAAGCGUUGUUCGGAAUUAUUGGGCGCAAAGAGCUCGUAGGCGGUCUGUCGCGUCUGCUGUGAAAACUCGGGGCUUAACCCCGGGCCUGCAGUGGGUACGGGCAGACUAGAGUGCGGUAGGGGAGACUGGAAUUCCUGGUGUAGCGGUGAAAUGCGCAGAUAUCAGGAGGAACACCGGUGGCGAAGGCGGGUCUCUGGGCCGUAACUGACGCUGAGGAGCGAAAGCAUGGGGAGCGAACAGG
Molecule: ribosomal RNA, 253 nt
Filed under: uncultured bacterium
Lineage: Bacteria
Description: partial 16S ribosomal RNA
Rfam family: Bacterial small subunit ribosomal RNA
Source: RNAcentral